Molecule: long non-coding RNA, 1579 nt
Organism: Cottoperca gobio
Lineage: Eukaryota; Metazoa; Chordata; Actinopteri; Perciformes; Bovichtidae
Exons: 2
Source: RefSeq, a predicted model, not a curated record
CUGUCCCUGUGUGCCUUGUCAGAUCGUCACUCGUGUUUCACCCAUGCUUCCUUGUGCUUCCCCAUGCUACGUCGUGUCUUGCCUGGUUUGUGUUUUUUCAGUUUUUCUUGUUGCCUCGAUUUUUGAAAUUGUAAGCUUUGUUAAAUAAAGCUCUCUUUUUGUUAACAUUUUCUUGCGUUCUGCAUUUGGGUCCUCAGCUUUACCGAGUCGUAACACACCUAGUUUUGCAGAUUUUAUUAAAAUAUUCCCUCCACCAGCAUGGCCUCCUUCUCUUCACUACCACAGAUCACAGAAGGAAAACUUCUCCAACAGUCUCUGCCGCUGUGAAGAGAAAUCUUUCUAGGACAUUUUACGGGCCCUUCAAUCCAAAUCCGGCGAGGAAACAGCUUCUUCCUUCCCACUGUGAAUGAUCACAGUCUGAAAGGCUGUCACCGGCGUCCUGCCAUAGGUUCCCAUCGCACACUCUUUCAGUUUGGAGUCAACAGGGGACGGUGAAAUCCAGAGAGGCCGGGCUUCGCUGUUUGGGUGAAUACAGACGAGACGCCGGCUCCCUUGUCUCUCCGAGAAGCAGUGGAGCGUCCACUACUAUCUCACACACUGGCAAACUUCCACCCAGCUAUCUCAUACCUUUCAUUUUAGGGUUUAUGAACUCGCAUGCAUGCAAGAGCGAACACACGCACACGCGCGGGGAACAGGAAAGUGAAAAAUGCACAUAGCUGUUGGCGUGGCAAACUCCUUCAAUUUAGAUGUUUUCAUGCAUUUACUGAAGUGCGAGACUUAAAUACGUUCAGGCUUUGUUACUUUACUUGAAUAUAUUUUAACUUUCUUUGAUCCUUGCACUACAUUAUGAAGAGUUCUGUAGUUUUUACUCGACUACGUUUAUAUAGUGUUACUGGUUCAGAUUUUACGUUCAUCAAAAUCUUGCACCUUUUCAAGACCUCUUGUUCAACAGGCUCCUUUCAUCUGAAUGACACAAUGCAUUUUCGUUUUCUCAACGUGUAAUCCCUCAGAUGAUCUGAAAGCAGGGAAACCUCAGAUUGUGUGUUUUUACUGCUUUUAUAUAGCUUUUACGAUCACUCAAAGUGCUUCACAACACAUGUCAUUCUCCCAUUCAUACAGUGUCAGCGGCUACAGGGGCUACAACGUGCACCAUUCACAUACACACCGUUGGCCAUCGGUAGCAAUUUGGGGUUCAGUGUCUCGCCCAAGGACACUUUGACAUGCUGACUACAGGACUGGAGAUCGAACCGACCGACCUUCCAACCAGUGGACGACCACUCUACCUCCUGAGCCUACAGCCACCCUGUGUCAUGUCAUGUGUUCAGAUGUUUCACAAUUUAUAUAUUAACACAUACCAAGUAUCUGCUAACGACAUUUCCCACAAUGACAACAUUUGAGUACAUUUUUGUUAGAAAAGGGAAGCUGCUAUAAUUUACUGCAGUCUUUCCCUGAAGUUCUGGACCCAAAAAUGGCUUUGUGGAUGUGUAUUUAUUGGGUGGUCAACUGGCAGAGUAAAGUGCAUAACAGUGCUAUCAUGUAUGAAUUAUUUUUCCAAAUUAAAAUAUGAGAUUCUUCUUUU